UACAGAGGGUGCAAGCGUUGUUCGGAUUCAUUGGGCGUAAAGGGUGCGUAGGUGGCGGGGUAAGUCAGGUGUGAAAUCUCGGAGCUCAACUCCGAAACUGCACUUGAUACUGCCUUGCUUGAGUACUGGAGAGGAGAUUGGAAUUUACGGUGUAGCAGUGAAAUGCGUAGAUAUCGUAAGGAAGACCAGUGGCGAAGGCGAAUCUCUGGACAGUUACUGACACUGAGGCACGAAGGCCAGGGGAGCAAACGGG
Molecule: ribosomal RNA, 253 nt
Filed under: uncultured bacterium
Lineage: Bacteria
Description: partial 16S ribosomal RNA
Rfam family: Bacterial small subunit ribosomal RNA
Source: RNAcentral